GCCAGUGUGGUGUGGUGGUUUGAGUGUUGGACUACGAUUCUGGAGAUCAGGGUUCUAAUCCCUGCUUGGCCA
This 72-nucleotide transfer RNA is filed under the name Phrynosoma platyrhinos (Desert horned lizard). Its description in RNAcentral is "tRNA-OTHER". Lineage: Eukaryota; Metazoa; Chordata; Lepidosauria; Squamata; Phrynosomatidae. The record is from RNAcentral.